This 450-nucleotide ribosomal RNA is filed under the name uncultured bacterium. RNAcentral's name for it is "partial 16S ribosomal RNA". It matches the Rfam family "Bacterial small subunit ribosomal RNA", at positions 354 to 796 of the family's 1533-position model. The record is from RNAcentral.
GUGGGGAAUAUUGGACAAUGGGCGAAAGCCUGAUCCAGCCAUGCCGCGUGUGUGAAGAAGGUCUUCGGAUUGUAAAGCACUUUAAGUUGGGAGGAAGGGCAGUAAGUUAAUACCUUGCUGUUUUGACGUUACCAACAGAAUAAGCACCGGCUAACUUCGUGCCAGCAGCCGCGGUAAUACGAAGGGUGCAAGCGUUAAUCGGAAUUACUGGGCGUAAAGCGCGCGUAGGUGGUUCAGCAAGUUGAAGGUGAAAUCCCCGGGCUCAACCUGGGAACUGCCUCCAAAUCUACUGAGCUAGAGUACGGUAGAGGGUAGUGGAAUUUCCUGUGUAGCGGUGAAAUGCGUAGAUAUAGGAAGGAACACCAGUGGCGAAGGCGACUACCUGGACUGAUACUGACACUGAGGUGCGAAAGCGUGGGGAGCAAACAGGAUUAGAUACCCUUGUAGUCC